Molecule: small nuclear RNA, 107 nt
Filed under: Aotus nancymaae (Ma's night monkey)
Lineage: Eukaryota; Metazoa; Chordata; Mammalia; Primates; Aotidae
Source: RNAcentral
GUGCUCACUUCAGCAGCAUAUAUACUAAUAUUGGAAAGAUACAGUAAAGAUUAGCAUGGCCCCUGCACAAGGCUUACGUGCAAAUCUGUGAAGCAUUCUAUAUAUUU